CUCUCUUUGGUUUAGUUUAUGUUUGCCCCUUUGGUACUUGGUGUUUUUAAUUUAAAGCUGGUCAAUUUGGACUUACUGUGUUCAGUUGAGGGCUGCAGAGAGAAUCAAGAAGAGUAGUACUUGGUGGAGAGAUGGAUUCGGCCUUGGCAACAGAGGGAUCAAAUGUAUAUGAUAGAAGGUGAGAAGGGAGUGAGUCAUGGGAAUAAGGCCAAACUUUCAUUCGCAUAUUUUUCUGCACUGUUACAAUUUUGCACUUUAUGUUUAGAAUAUUCACUUAAGGUAGUUACUAGUUUCACCUAAAGUAUAGGUCUUAAUUGAUCCUUUUAUUCAUUUUUUUCUCAGCACAAGGUUCUUAGAGUUUCAGUUAGUAAAAUCAUUAUCAUUUCUGCAACUCUUAGAGGUCUGCUUAAAGAAGCUUUCUGGAUAAAAUGGUGAAGCUGUUUAUCUUCACAGAUAUCCGUAAUUUCCUUAAUGUGGCUAGUGGAUGAUGAUGUUGUACAAGAUUAUGAUUACCAAGGUUGUUUGGUUCUUUUAUACUGAAAAAUGGUUUCAACAAUGAAGAAGUCGAUCUUUGAUGAACAAACUAACAAGGCCUUAAGGAAAUUGCAAAAGAAUGCUCAAAAGAAGAGAAGGCAUCAUGAUGUGGUUCGAGCUGAAUGGGCAAAUCAUGUUAUACAGUUCUAACUUUGGUUCUGUUU
Long non-coding RNA from Rosa chinensis, 698 nucleotides. RefSeq lists it as uncharacterized. NCBI's taxonomy places the organism in Eukaryota, Viridiplantae, Streptophyta, Magnoliopsida, Rosales, Rosaceae. The record is from RefSeq and is a predicted model, not a curated record. The transcript is spliced from 4 exons.